UACGAAGGGGGCUAGCGUUGUUCGGAAUUACUGGGCGUAAAGCGCGCGCAGGCGGCUAUCCAAGUCAGUGGUGAAAGCCCGGAGCUCAACUCCGGAACUGCCAUUGAAACUGUUUAGCUUGAGUAUGAGAGAGGUGAGUGGAAUUCCCAGUGUAGAGGUGAAAUUCGUAGAUAUUGGGAAGAACACCGGUGGCGAAGGCGGCUCACUGGCUCAUUACCGACGCUCAGGCGCGAUAGCGUGGGGAUCAAACAGG
RNAcentral lists this ribosomal RNA (253 nucleotides) under uncultured bacterium. Its description in RNAcentral is "partial 16S ribosomal RNA". It matches the Rfam family "Bacterial small subunit ribosomal RNA", at positions 524 to 776 of the family's 1533-position model. The record is from RNAcentral.